Long non-coding RNA from Planococcus citri (citrus mealybug), 2915 nucleotides. RefSeq lists it as uncharacterized. The record is from RefSeq and is a predicted model, not a curated record. The transcript is spliced from 2 exons. Lineage: Eukaryota; Metazoa; Arthropoda; Insecta; Hemiptera; Pseudococcidae.
UUUGAAGCUGCAUACUCCCGAGACAUAAAUUAAUUCCAAAAAAAAUCUUUCAACGUAUAAUUGUUUCAUUUAAUGUUUUGAUAAAGUGCCAAAAUCUACUAAACGCAUUGAAUCAGACUAAAUGAGUACUUAAAUGACAUGGUAUUAAUUUUAAUUAUUAUAGUUUGUCGAGCUUCAUCAAAAAAAAUAAAUCACACACAUGAUUGCAUCUAAAAUUAUCCGACAUUGUUUGUGCCAACUAUUGCAAUCGCAGCCCAACAGGAGAGUUUUUUUUUGCAUCAGUCAGUAAUUCGCGAGUGUUAUGACGAUGUGUUCGGACUCAACGUAAUUUUAUUUUCCUGUAUUAAUAUUGCGUCGAGAUGUUCACAUACACUUUUUAUUUUCAACGAAUUCUUAUUUACUUAAGCUUAGAAUGAAUUUACUUUCGAUUCUCGUGUUUGAAUGAAUUACGUGUUAAUUGAUAGGAUAGUAAAAUUCGUACGUUUAAAAUUUUAAAAAAAUCGACGAAACAAUAAUUUUUUUCAAUUAGCAAUUUCAGUAUUUAUUUUUCUCAACAAGUAAUUUUCACGUCACGGAGACUCUCGAUAAUGGCUGUUUAGGUGGCAGAAAAACACUCGCAACAAAAAUGAACUAAAUUGUACGAGCUAAGUACUUACAGACAGAUUUUACGAUCGUUUUAGUGUCUCUGAGAGGUCAAAAUUCGGUAAAAACUCACCAAAUAAUAGCGCAAAUACUUUCAUUUCUUGUGAUAUUGAAUCCUUUUGUUUCAGAAAACAUUAUUUUAAAACACGAAUUCACUAAAGGCGAUCAAAUUGCAAAAAUUACGCUCAAAUUCACUCGUCAAACAAACUUACUGAGUGUAUUACUAAUCUAGUACACUCGAUCGGUGUAUGGUGUAAAAAGGUUCUCUCCGGUGAGAGUACCAGUCAUAUUCAAUGAUACGAUCUUACCUUUGGGUGGAAUGGGACACCAUCCCAUCCCUUGUGAGUAGAUCACUAAUCCUUCUCACCAAACUGGCCUUAAUCCUAAAUAACACUAAUUAAACUAAACUAAACCGAGUACUAAACAUAAACACUUAACACUGGAGAGUAAAACUUAUAUAGGUACUAAAUGAAGAAUUAACCGAUUAGCAGAUGAAUAACAUGCCCGCGUGCACUGGAACACAUUACUGACGUUUCCUACACUCGUAGCUCAGCUCAAGCGGCCAGCUUACAAAUACAGAACGCAGUGUUGCCAGUACAAUGCAGUGUUACCAGGUGGGUUCCCCUAUACAUGUAACAUACGGCAUAGUAGUAUAUCACAAUACCAUAUAUAUUUUCAUUGUGAAAUUCAGUUUUGGUCCGUAAUUGGUUUGAUCUGAAAUUGGUAGCUAAUUUUUUUCUCCUAUGAAUUUUUCAAUUUCAAAGGGGUUGUCAGGUACCAAUUACCGACCAGUCCACAAUUGGUAGUUUUUCAACUUCAAUAUUUGAAGCACGGAAAUACAAUGUCGGCUAAGCACCAUUCACGUUUUUUAUGGGAGAGCGUAAACGCGUUCGCAUAACAGGUACAUCUUAUAGAAAACGCUAUCUCUCGGUGUUCCAUAGUACAACUUUAGCCGACAUUGUAUUUCCGUGCUUCAUUUGUGAAUUUUGAUGAUGAAAAUUUUCUAAUGUGGUUCUCAGGGUACUAUAACUGGUCUCAGAGUGAAAAAAAAUUAAACGCUUCCGUUCAUGUUUGCAUGAUUUUUAAUUGGUACCUCUUCAAAAACUGCCUUUUUUUAGACGGUAUUUCAAAUAGGAAUUCGGGAAAUGAAAAUUACUUUUUUUCAAAACUGAACACCUUGAAGUGAAAGAGGAAGCGUCAAAGAUUAUUUUUAAAAAAAUCAAAAUUGAGUUAUGAAUGAUGUUUUGACGAUUAAUUGUAAAAAAGUGGUCCAUUGGUAGUUUACCUUACACGAUAUUUACCUUUUUUUGAGAAUUACCCAUCCAUUUAUUUAUUUCGUUGUAAAUACAGGUAAUUCGUCUCAUAGAGAUACGUUGUAUUCGUCAAGUCAAUUAAGAUCGAAGAUGAUUUUGUAAUAUUUUUAUACUUGUGAUUCCGAUUUUCGAAUAUUCUAACUAAUGUUCGGAUCGCGCUAACGUUCGCAUUAUGGCGAUUUUCUACCGUUUUUAUUUCCUGUACACAUUUGUUCUUUUGUAGAUAUGUUUAAAUACAUCAUUUUAUUUCGAAGUGCGCUUCAUAUUUUAUUAUGUACGUGCUAGGGGCAUACAGUGACAUCUCCAUCAGUUGUUCAGCUUUGUAUUUGAUGUCUACCUACUUACCUACUACAUAUUUAUAUCUAAACAGAAAAUCCAAACAGCAAGAUGUGUUUCUCACUUCUUCACAAGUUUUUUCAUCUCUAAGUACCUAUUUUCGUUAUUGUGCCAAGUUUUUCCCUGAUUUCGAUGGCUUGUCGAGUUCGCUACGUAGGUAACCUCUUGGAUGACUUCCCUAGGAUAGACCGUGAUGAUACCUAGGUACCGGCUAAUAUAGAUGGAAGUAUACGCUAUCUCCUGUAAAGGAGUGCAACUACGACGACGACGAGACAUUUCAUAGGAUAUUUACGAAUUGAGAAGGAGCUUUGGAUAUACGCUGAUCGGAAUCGAGAUGGAUACUCAAGUUUUUAAGAAGCAUGAAGAAGUAAGUUCGCUACGAUUCACAUACAUCCCUCCGGCUUCACAGGUGACUUCUUAGAAGACUUCCAUAAGAUAGACACUGAUGAUGAUGGGCAUCUCUCGUUCACGGAGGUGCGGCACGCGGAAAACCAAUGUUUAAUUUAAGAUUUCCCUUAAAUUUUUCCACAUGUCAGCGAGGGCGUUAGACAUUAUUGCUACCAUAUUAAGGUUCCGAAGUGUUUAUUAGUCUAUGUAUUACACAAUUCUUAUGAAUUACCUACC